RNAcentral lists this ribosomal RNA (1285 nucleotides) under Neoechinorhynchus personatus. RNAcentral describes it as "SSU rRNA". It matches the Rfam family "Eukaryotic small subunit ribosomal RNA", at positions 507 to 1755 of the family's 1831-position model. Lineage: Eukaryota; Metazoa; Acanthocephala; Eoacanthocephala; Neoechinorhynchida; Neoechinorhynchidae. The record is from RNAcentral.
CAUUGGAAUGAGAACAAUCAAAAUCCUUUAUCGAGGAUCGAUUGGAGGGCAAGUUCUGGUGCCAGCAGCCGCGGUAAUUCCAGCUCGAAUAGCGUAUGUUAAAUUUGCUGCGGUUAAAAAGCUCGUAGUUGGGAGUCAGGAGAUGAACUGUGCGCUGUCAUGUCACAAAAUGACGUGUAUAGCAUUGCACCAGAUUCACUUCUUUAAUUUCGCUGCUCCUGCGUCGUCGAAGACCCAAUUAAGUUUGGGAGGCGCACUUUAAAGGGAAGGCGAUUAACUACUUUGAGAAAAUUAGCGUGCUUAACGCAAGCGACUUGCUUGAAUACUGUUGCAUGGAAUAAUGAGAUAGGACCUUGGUUCUGUUUCGUUGGUUUCCGGAAGCCGAGGUAAUGAUUGAUAGGGAUAAACGUGGGCAUUCGUAUUGUGGUGUUAGAGGUGAAAUUCGAUGAUCACCGCAGGACGUACAACUGCGAAAGCAUUUGCCAAGAAUGUUUUCAUUAAUCAAGAACGAAAGUUAGAGUUUCGAAGACGAUUAGAUACCGUCCUAGUUCUAACUAUAAACUAUGCCAACUGGGCAUCUGGCGCUUGCAACAACAAAGCAUCGCCAGGCACCCCGCGGGAAACCAAAGUUUAUUGGGGUUCCGGGGGGAGUAUGGUUGCAAAAUCGAAACUUAAAGGAAUUGACGGAGGGGCACACCAGAAGUGGAGCCUGCGGCUCAAUUUGACUCAACGCACGAAAACUUACUCGGUCCGAACACCGUGAGGAUUGACAGGUUGACAGCUCUUUCUUGAUUCGGUGGGUGGUGGUGCAUGGCCGUUCGUAGUUGGUGGAGUGAUUUGUCUGGUUUAUUCCGAUAACGAACGAGACUCUAGCCUAUUAAUUGGUGUGACGAGCAAGCCCUCAUAUCAUUCUUGUUAUUGAGUGGUAACGCCGUCAAAACGCUUCUUAGAGGGACAAGUGUCGUGAGGCACUCGAAGUUGAGCAAUAACAGGUCUGUGAUGCCCUUAGAUGUUCGGGGCUGCACGCGCGCUACAAUGGAGGCUUCAAAAGGCAUUCCUGUUUCGAAAGGAACAGGGAAUCAUAAAUGGCCUUCACGAUUGGGAUCGGAGAUUGUAAUUAUUCUUCGUGAAAGAGGAAUUCCUAGUAAGCGCGAAUCAUUAUUUCGCGUUGACUAAGUCCCUGCCCUUUGUACACACCGCCCGUCGCUACUACCGAUCGAAUGGUUUAGUGAGGUUUUCGGAUAGAUUGCAUGGUGCCACAAGUGCCACUGCGAAAUCUAAAAGU